RNAcentral lists this unclassified non-coding RNA (222 nucleotides) under Ascomycota sp. Its description in RNAcentral is "partial contains small subunit ribosomal RNA, internal transcribed spacer 1, and 5.8S ribosomal RNA". The stretch from base 1 to 47 matches the Rfam family "Eukaryotic small subunit ribosomal RNA", at positions 1785 to 1831 of the family's 1831-position model. Lineage: Eukaryota; Fungi; Ascomycota. The record is from RNAcentral.
AAAGUCGUAACAAGGUUUCCGUAGGUGAACCUGCGGAAGGAUCAUUACCGAGUGAGGGUCUUUAAUGGCCCAACCUCCCAACCCCUUGAAUAUCAUCAAGUGUUUUAUUGUUGCUUCGGUGGGUCAAAUGUGCCCACCGAAGCCCAACAUAAAUCUUAGUAAUAGUGUUGUCUGAGUUAUUGAAAAUAAUAAAAACUUUCAACAACGGAUCUCUUGGUUCCC